AUUCGAUGAUACGCGAGGAACCUUACCAAGACUUAAAUGGGAAUUGACAGUUUUAGAAAUAGAACUUUCUUCGGACAAUUUUCAAGGUGCUGCAUGGUUGUCGUCAGCUCGUGCCGUGAGGUGUUAGGUUAAGUCCUGCAACGAGCGCAACCCCUGUCACUAGUUGCCAUCAUUCAGUUGGGGACUCUAGUGAGACUGCCUACGCAAGUAGAGAGGAAGGUGGGGAUGACGUCAAAUCAUCACGGCCCUUACGUCUUGGGCCACACACGUAAUACAAUGGCCGGUACAGAGGGCAGCUACACAGUGAUGUGAUGCAAAUCUCGAAAGCCGGUCUCAGUUCGGAUUGGAGUCUGCAACUCGACUCUAUGAAGCUGGAAUCGCUAGUAAUCGCGCAUCAGCCAUGGCGCGGUGAAUACGUUCCCGGGCCUUGUACACACCGCCCGUCAAGCCAUGGAAGCUGGGGGUACCUGAAGUCGGUGACCGUAAAAGGAGCUGCCUAGGGUAAAACUAGUAACUAGGGCUAAGUCGUAACAAGGUA
This 538-nucleotide ribosomal RNA is filed under the name uncultured Bacteroidota bacterium. Its description in RNAcentral is "bacterial SSU rRNA". It matches the Rfam family "Bacterial small subunit ribosomal RNA", at positions 949 to 1498 of the family's 1533-position model. Lineage: Bacteria; Pseudomonadati; Bacteroidota. The record is from RNAcentral.